RNAcentral lists this ribosomal RNA (878 nucleotides) under uncultured bacterium. RNAcentral describes it as "bacterial SSU rRNA". It matches the Rfam family "Bacterial small subunit ribosomal RNA", at positions 8 to 916 of the family's 1533-position model. The record is from RNAcentral.
AGAGUUUGAUCCUGGCUCAGGAUGAACGCUGGCGGCGUGCCUAACACAUGCAAGUCGAGCGAUUUACUUCGGUAAAGAGCGGCGGACGGGUGAGUAACGCGUGGGUAACCUGCCCUGUACACACGGAUAACAUACCGAAAGGUAUGCUAAUACGAGAUAAUAUGCUUUUAUCGCAUGGUAGAAGUAUCAAAGCUUUUGCGGUACAGGAUGGACCCGCGUCUGAUUAGCUAGUUGGUAAGGUAACGGCUUACCAAGGCGACGAUCAGUAGCCGACCUGAGAGGGUGAUCGGCCACAUUGGAACUGAGACACGGUCCAAACUCCUACGGGAGGCAGCAGUGGGGAAUAUUGCACAAUGGGCGAAAGCCUGAUGCAGCAACGCCGCGUGAGCGAUGAAGGCCUUCGGGUCGUAAAGCUCUGUCCUCAAGGAAGAUAAUGACGGUACUUGAGGAGGAAGCCCCGGCUAACUACGUGCCAGCAGCCGCGGUAAUACGUAGGGGGCUAGCGUUAUCCGGAAUUACUGGGCGUAAAGGGUGCGUAGGUGGUUUCUUAAGUCAGAGGUGAAAGGCUACGGCUCAACCGUAGUAAGCCUUUGAAACUGGGAAACUUGAGUGCAGGAGAGGAGAGUGGAAUUCCUAGUGUAGCGGUGAAAUGCGUAGAUAUUAGGAGGAACACCAGUUGCGAAGGCGGCUCUCUGGACUGUAACUGACACUGAGGCACGAAAGCGUGGGGAGCAAACAGGAUUAGAUACCCUGGUAGUCCACGCCGUAAACGAUGAGUACUAGCUGUCGGAGGUUACCCCCUUCGGUGGCGCAGCUAACGCAUUAAGUACUCCGCCUGGAAGUACGCUCGCAAGAGUGAAACUCAAAGGAAUUGACGG